UAAACGCUGGCGGCGUGCUUAACACAUGCAAGUCGACCGAAGUUUUUCCUUCGGGAGAAACUUAGUGGCGGACGGGUGAGUAACGCGUGGGUAACCUGCCCUGUACAGGGGGACAACAGCUGGAAACGGCUGCUAAUACCGCAUAAGCCCUUAGCACUGCAUGGUGCAUAGGGAAAAGGAGCAAUCCGGUACAGGAUGGACCCGCGUCUGAUUAGCCAGUUGGCAGGGUAACGGCCUACCAAAGCGACGAUCAGUAGCCGAUCUGAGAGGAUGUACGGCCACAUUGGGACUGAGACACGGCCCAGACUCCUACGGGAGGCAGCAGUGGGGAAUAUUGCACAAUGGAGGAAACUCUGAUGCAGCGACGCCGCGUGAGUGAAGAAGUAUUUCGGUAUGUAAAGCUCUAUCAGCAGGGAAGAAAAUGACGGUACCUGACUAAGAAGCACCGGCUAAAUACGUG
Molecule: ribosomal RNA, 460 nt
Filed under: uncultured bacterium
Lineage: Bacteria
Description: partial 16S ribosomal RNA
Rfam family: Bacterial small subunit ribosomal RNA
Source: RNAcentral